RNAcentral lists this small nuclear RNA (91 nucleotides) under Tupaia belangeri (northern tree shrew). Lineage: Eukaryota; Metazoa; Chordata; Mammalia; Scandentia; Tupaiidae. The record is from RNAcentral.
CUGCUCACUUCAGCGGCACAUUGAAACAAUAGAGAUUACAUGGCCUCUAUGUGAGGAUGACAUGCAAAUUUGUGAAGCAUCCCAUAUUUUU